This 228-nucleotide unclassified non-coding RNA is filed under the name Glomus sp. Its description in RNAcentral is "partial internal transcribed spacer 2". The stretch from base 1 to 71 matches the Rfam family "5.8S ribosomal RNA", at positions 84 to 154 of the family's 154-position model. Lineage: Eukaryota; Fungi; Glomeromycota; Glomeromycetes; Glomerales; Glomeraceae. The record is from RNAcentral.
GUGAAUCAUCAAAUUUUUGAACGCAAGUUGCACUUUCUGGGAUGACGGAAAGUAUGCGUGUUUGAGGGUCAGUUAAAUAAAAAUCGGUGUUGUUACUGCUUUUCGUGGUUACGCGUCGGAAUUAACUUGUAUUACCUGCGGUUAAGUGACUUAAAAUUUUGUAUGAUAUUCGAACGUAUUUAAAAUUCUUUCGUACCUUUGAGAUAUCGAAUACCUUUCUAUGUUCGG